GAGGCGCUUGGGAGGACUCCCCCAGUUCUGUUAAGAGCUGGGCACAAAGAGCCCUUUGCACUCCAGCCGCAGGAGCGAGGAGGAGCCGAGCUAGAUGCACAUGGGCGUGGGGACUCCGGUACAACACCAACCCACAAGACCUGGGGCGUCCAGCGCAGCCUCAAACCCAGGGCAUCUCUGCACUCUCAUCGCGACGUCGCUCUGGAUGCUGUUUGCAUAUCCUUGGGGAGUCACUGCUUUGGCACAACAGUCCUGCGAGGUGCUGGAAUUCCGUCUGUUCUCAUCACACGGACAUGGCUGAUCUGUCUCAGUGGUACCUGGGGGCAAAGCAGGGAGCCGGGCGGUGGAGGCCAACAUUGUUACCAAGUUGGCUCUGUCUCAACACAGGGACUGAGCCUUCUGAGCCUCAAGAGUUCCUGCUGGUUCCCAGGUGGUGGA
This 438-nucleotide small RNA is filed under the name Mus musculus (house mouse). RNAcentral describes it as "partial mRNA-like noncoding RNA". The record is from RNAcentral. Lineage: Eukaryota; Metazoa; Chordata; Mammalia; Rodentia; Muridae.